RNAcentral lists this ribosomal RNA (490 nucleotides) under uncultured bacterium. RNAcentral describes it as "partial 16S ribosomal RNA". It matches the Rfam family "Bacterial small subunit ribosomal RNA", at positions 29 to 507 of the family's 1533-position model. The record is from RNAcentral.
AGUGAACGCUGGCGGCAGGCCUAACACAUGCGAGUCGAACGGCAGCACAAGAGAGCUUGCUCUCUGGGUGGCGAGUGGCGGACGGGUGAGGAAUGCAUCGGAAUCUGCCCAUUUGUGGGGGAUAACCUCGGGAAACCGGGACUAAUACCGCAUACGACCUACGGGUGAAAGCAGGGGAUCUUCGGACCUUGCGCAGAUGGAUGAGCCGAUGCCGGAUUAGCUAGUUGGAGGGGUAAAGGCCCACCAAGGCGACGAUCCGUAGCUGGUCUGAGAGGAUGAUCAGCCACACUGGGACUGAGACACGGCCCAGACUCCUACGGGAGGCAGCAGUGGGGAAUAUUGGACAAUGGGCGCAAGCCUGAUCCAGCCAUGCCGCGUGUGUGAAGAAGGCCUUCGGGUUGUAAAGCACUUUUGUUGGGAAAGAAAAGCAGCCGGUUAAUACCCGGUUGUCAUGACGGUACCAAAAGAAUAAGCACCGGCUAACUUCGUG